Molecule: unclassified non-coding RNA, 389 nt
Filed under: soil metagenome
Description: partial contains 5.8S ribosomal RNA, internal transcribed spacer 2, and large subunit ribosomal RNA
Rfam family: 5.8S ribosomal RNA (bases 1-120)
Source: RNAcentral
GAUGAAGAACGUAGCGAAAUGCGAUAAGUAAUGUGAAUUGCAGAAUUCAGUGAAUCAUCGAAUCUUUGAACGCACCUUGCGCUCCUUGGUAUUCCGAGGAGCAUGCCUGUUUGAGUGUCAUUAAAUUCUCAACCUUAUUGGCUUUUGCUGAUAAUGGCUUGGACUUGGGGGUCUUUUUGCUGGCUUUCAUUAGUCUGCUCCCCUUAAAUGUAUUAGCCGGUGCCCCGCAGUGGAACCGUCUAUUGGUGUGAUAAUUAUCUACGCCGUGGACGUCUGCUAUAAUGGGUUUGCGCUGCUUCUAACCGUCACUCGGGACAAAACAAAUGACAAUUUGACCUCAAAUCAGGUAGGACUACCCGCUGAACUUAAGCAUAUCAAUAAGCGGAGGA